Molecule: long non-coding RNA, 468 nt
Filed under: Brassica napus (rape)
Lineage: Eukaryota; Viridiplantae; Streptophyta; Magnoliopsida; Brassicales; Brassicaceae
Description: long non-coding RNA (BNAP_LNC006664)
Source: RNAcentral
UUUAGGGUUUAGUAAUUAGUGAUUAAGGUUUAGUAUUUAGAGUAAUAGCGGUCAGUUUGAGGUCAAUAUUAGAUUUUGAGAUUUGGGUUUAGAGUUUAGGGUUUAGGGUGUAUACUUGGGUUUAAAGUUUAGUGAUUAAGAUUUAGGGUUUAGUAUUUAGAAGGCCGGGGUUGGGAUUUGGGUUUAGUGAACAUGUAUAGUUUCAUUUGUCGAUUAAUAAAGAGUGUUCUAUUUUGCUCACCAAUAUGUUUUAUACUAUUUAUUUUAUUCCAUUAUAUUUGAGUUUAGGGUCUAUACUUGGGUUUACGAUUUAGUGAUUAGUGUUUAGAGUUUAGUAUUUGGAAGGUGUGGGGUUAAAGUUUGGGAUUAGUGAUAGCAGUUUAGGGUUUAGUAUUGAAAAUGUGCCUUCAAGUGUCCGAUAUUGGAAAUUUUUUUAUAGAUUGUAUUUGAAUUUAUAGGUUCCUGCCU